RNAcentral lists this ribosomal RNA (459 nucleotides) under uncultured bacterium. RNAcentral's name for it is "partial 16S ribosomal RNA". It matches the Rfam family "Bacterial small subunit ribosomal RNA", at positions 338 to 795 of the family's 1533-position model. The record is from RNAcentral.
CCUACGGGAGGCAGCAGUGAGGAAUAUUGGUCAAUGGGCGCGAGCCUGAACCAGCCAAGUCGCGUGAGGGAAGACGGUCCUAUGGAUUGUAAACCUCUUUUGUCGGGGAGCAAAAGACGCCACGCGUGGCGUUCCGAGAGUAACCGGAGAAAAAGCAUCGGCCAACUCCGGGCCAGCAGCCGCGGUAAUAAGGAGGAUGGGAGCGUUAACCGGGUUUAUUGGGGUUAAAGGGUGCGCAGGCGGAAGGUUAAGUCAGGGGUAAAAUUGAGAGGCUCAACCUCUUCGAGCCGUUGAAACUGGUUUUCUUGAGUGAGCGAGAAGUAUGCGGAAUGCGUGGUGUAGCGGUGAAAUGCAUAGAUAUCACGCAGAACUCCGAUUGCGAAGGCAGCAUACCGGCGCUCAACUGACGCUCAUGCACGAAAGUGUGGGUAUCGAACAGGAUUAGAUACCCUAGUAGUC